This 762-nucleotide ribosomal RNA is filed under the name Triticum aestivum (bread wheat). Its description in RNAcentral is "partial small subunit ribosomal RNA". The record is from RNAcentral. Lineage: Eukaryota; Viridiplantae; Streptophyta; Magnoliopsida; Poales; Poaceae.
AUGCAUAAUGCCAAGCCAGUAAUUACUCCGUUAGCUGCACACUUCAAAUUAUCAUCAGCUUUAUGUCCUAAGUCAGAUGCAGAUAUUGAGUACAUGUCUAGAGUUCCCUAUUCGAGUGCGGUUGGUCCACUUAUGUAUGCCAUGGUUUGUUCUCGUCCGGAUUUAUCUUAUGCAUUGAGUGUUGUCAGUAGAUACAUGGCUAAUCCUGGAAAAGAGCAUUGGAAAGCAGUUCAGUGGAUUUUCAGAUACCUGCGAGGUACUUCUAAUGCUUAUUUACAGUUUGGGAAAACUAGAGAUGGACUUGUUGGUUUUGUUGAUUCUGAUUUUGCUGGUGAUUUGGAUAAGAGAAGAUCACUCACAGGUUAUGUUUUCACCAUUGGUGGUUGUGCUAUGAGUUGGAGAGCAACUUUGCAGUCUAUUGUGGCUUGUUCCACUACUGAUGCCGAGUAUAUGGCUAUUUCUGAGGCAUGCAAAGAAGCUAUCUGGUUGAGAGGUUUGUAUGCUGAGCUUUGUGGAGAUUCAUCUUGCCCUACCAUAUUUUCUGACAGUCAAAGUGCCAUAUAUCUUACAAAGAAUCCAAUGUAUCAUGAGAGGACAAAGCACAUUGAUGUCAGAUUUCAUUAUAUUCGAGAUGUUGUUGCUGAAGGCAAUUUGAAGGUAUGCAAGAUAAGUACUCAUGAUAAUCCUGCUGAUAUGAUGACAAAGCCAGUUCCGACCAAUAAGUUUGAGCUUUGCUCAGGCUUAGUUGGUAUUUCUCACUAG